UCCGUUUCCGCCACCUCUUCCUUUUCCGGUCCUCUGGACACCACACUGGCCGUAUCUUCGACCCUGUCCCCCGUUUGGGAAGCGACAGCAGUCAUGGCGAUGUUUGAGCAGAUGAGAGCUAACGUGGGCAAGUUGCUCAAGGGUAUCGACAGAUACAAUCCUGAGAAUCUGGCCACUUUGGAGCGCUAUGUGGAGACACAGGCCAAGGAGAAUGCCUAUGAUCUGGAAGCCAACCUGGCUGUCCUGAAGCUGUACCAGUUCAACCCAGCCUUCUUUCAGACCACAGUCACCGCCCAGAUCCUGCUGAAGGCCCUCACCAACCUGCCGCACACUGACUUCACUCUGUGCAAGUGCAUGAUCGACCAGGCCCACCAAGAAGAGCGGCCCAUCCGACAGAUCUUGUACCUUGGAGACUUGCUGGAGACCUGCCACUUCCAGGCCUUCUGGCAAGCCCUGGAUGAAAACAUGGACCUCUUGGAAGGUAUAACUGGGUUUGAAGAUUCUGUCCGGAAAUUCAUCUGCCAUGUCGUGGGCAUCACUUAUCAGCACAUCGAUCGCUGGCUGCUGGCCGAGAUGCUUGGGGACCUGACAGACAGCCAGCUAAAGGUGUGGAUGAGCAAGUACGGCUGGAGUGCUGAUGAGUCAGGCCAGAUCUUCAUCUGUAGCCAGGAAGAGAGCAUUAAGCCCAAGAACAUUGUGGAGAAGAUUGACUUUGACAAUACGCGUUGGUACAGCAUGGCUUCUCAGCACAGACCAGCUCACUUGGUGCCAGUGGGAACCGGACUGAGUGGGCACUUGGGGACUGUGGACAUGUGCCUGUCCGUGUGAGAGCUUGCUGGAGCAAAGGUUCUGCAGUGAGGAGAUGCAAGUCCAGCACUUGGAGUGUUUUGCAGAUAGUACAUGCUGUUUUUAAAGUCAUGAAUAACACCACCAGGCCUUUUUCUAAUCAUGUCAUUUAAUCCUGGCAUACCAUUGAACCCUACUUUUCCAUGGGAUAGAUGCUUCCUACAGGUGUGUCCAGCAUCAUGGCCUCCUCUCAGUAACUUUGAAGGUGUUUAAUAAAGAUUUGUUGCCUUA
This is an RNA transcript of Artibeus jamaicensis (Jamaican fruit-eating bat), 1077 nucleotides long. It is a transcript of the gene named eukaryotic translation initiation factor 3 subunit K, with no coding region annotated. Lineage: Eukaryota; Metazoa; Chordata; Mammalia; Chiroptera; Phyllostomidae. The record is from RefSeq and is a predicted model, not a curated record. The transcript is spliced from 9 exons.